GACAGAGGGUGCAAACGUUGUUCGGAAUUACUGGGCGUAAAGCGAGUGUAGGCGGUCUCGUAAGUCGGGUGUGAAAGCCCUGGGCUCAACCCAGGAAGUGCACUCGAAACUGCGAGGCUAGAGUACUGGAGAGGUUGGUGGAAUUCUCGGUGUAGAGGUGAAAUUCGUAGAUAUCGAGAGGAACACCAGUGGCGAAGGCGGCGACCUGGACGGACACUGACGCUGAGACGCGAAAGCGUGGGGAGCAAACAGG
Molecule: ribosomal RNA, 253 nt
Filed under: uncultured bacterium
Lineage: Bacteria
Description: partial 16S ribosomal RNA
Rfam family: Bacterial small subunit ribosomal RNA
Source: RNAcentral